Molecule: ribosomal RNA, 505 nt
Filed under: uncultured bacterium
Lineage: Bacteria
Description: bacterial SSU rRNA
Rfam family: Bacterial small subunit ribosomal RNA
Source: RNAcentral
GACGAACGCUGGCGGCGUGCCUAAUACAUGCAAGUUGAACGCAACAAAGACACCAGAGCUUGCUCUACCGUCUUUGUUGAGUAGCGAACGGGUGAGUAACGCGUGGGUAACCUGCCUUAUAGCGGGGGAUAACUAUUGGAAACGAUAGCUAAUACCGCAUAACAAUAGAGAUUGCAUAAUCUUUAUUUGAAAGUGCCAACUGGUACACUAUGAGAUGGACCCGCGUUGUAUUAGCUAGUUGGUAGUGUAAUGGACUACCAAGGCGAUGAUACAUAGCCGACCUGAGAGGGUGAUCGGCCACAUUGGGACUGAGACACGGCCCAAACUCCUACGGGAGGCAGCAGUAGGGAAUCUUCGGCAAUGGACGAAAGUCUGACCGAGCAACGCCGCGUGAGUGAAGAAGGUUUUCGGAUCGUAAAACUCUGUUGUUAGAGAAGAAUGUUGAUUAGAGUGGAAAAUUAAUCAAGUGACGGUAUCUAACCAGAAAGGGACGGCUAACUACGUG